RNAcentral lists this long non-coding RNA (1838 nucleotides) under Mustela putorius furo (domestic ferret). RNAcentral describes it as "lncRNA (ENSMPUG00000024665.1)". Lineage: Eukaryota; Metazoa; Chordata; Mammalia; Carnivora; Mustelidae. The record is from RNAcentral.
CAUGAGCAUGAGAGUCUGAUAGGAGGUCAGCAUCCAAAAUGGGAACAGGACUUUCCGUUCCCCAUCUUUACAAGCCAAGUUUGGUUCUUGGACAUCUGAAGACCCUAGAAAGCCAAAAAUCAGACUCCGUUUGAGAACAUCUACUUUACAGUCACCAGAUCACAAAAGUGUGUUCUUAAGCCAUUAGGUAACAAUGAGAUGGGAGCUUUAUUGAUACUGUAGAAGCUUUACUGAUACUAGAUACUGUAUUCUACCUGCUGCUGGAGAAGCUCUAUGUGGGCAGAAAGACGCCAGAAUCCUGAGUUUCUUUUCCUCCCGCAUUUCUAGGAAAGAGAGGAAAAAAAAAAAAAAAAUCGGAAAGAAAAGAAGAAACUGCUCCUGAUCAGAAACCGUUGAGAGGAAAUCAGAUUUAGGAGGAUCAGAAUAACUUAGUCUCGGCGGACCCGCUGGGAAAAAUGUCCGCCGAGUCUGUUUUCCUGGGGAAAUCAUGCUUUGCGACAGGUGGCUGUCCCACUCAGCACCUGUGCGAUUUCCUUUGUGAUUCUCCACUGCCUGAAGUAGGGCAGACUUUAACAUACCCAUUAUGUAAGGAAGAGAAGUUAAAACCCUGGAGAGUUAGAAUGACCUGAGCAAAUUCCAUAGCUUCCAAGCCUUAGGGUUAGGACCGGACACCAGUGUUUUCCUUUUGCUCAUCUGUUUUACUUUAUUCCAGUUUUCUUCCCCCUGAUCAUCAUGCUCAGGAGGACUGGGACGACCCACGUGAUUCUGUAGAGAUCAAGUGGGCAGAGCUUGGAUGAGGCCAAGCCAGGAAGGUCGAGGUUGCUGUCCUUCCCUCUUCUCAGGACACGUGGCUCUCCUGGAUGCUGGGUUUAUCCGGUGCCCAGCUGCACGCGGGAUAACGAGCAACUAGUAUUCCACGACCGUAUCAAGGAAGUUGAGGAGAAAGAAACAAAGACCCUGGACGUUGCUCCCUGGCCUUUCUUCGUGAGCGUCCUGCAGGUUCAUCUGAUCCGCUCCUGGAAGAGCCCGGGGUUGAGAUGGGAUUUCUGCCAGAAGGAGGAUGGGCACUCGACGGCCUCGCCAUCUGCACUGUGCACGUCGCCCAUCCCCCACCCCCACCCCCAAAGCACACAAAGGAAAGUUGCUGGAGCCCGGAUGCUCAGGCCUGUGCCCAGUUGUGUGCCCCACUGGAGACAAUGCCAUCUGGUUAAAAGAAAUACCCUUGCAUCUCUAAACCGUUGGACGGAAGCAGAAGCCCCCUCCCCACCCCCCGGCGCUAGCUCGGAAAGGCUCUCUGGAACCCUCGAACUGGGACCUUCAACCUCAGUUCUUGGCCUUGGCCUCGCCUCUCCCACCUGAAGACACUCCUCCGUCGGGGAGAAAUUAGGAAGAUUUACUGCAAUGCCGGGGAGAGGACUUCAUUGGACGAUAAAGAAAGAGAGACCAAAAUUUAGUUCUCGAGAGAUUAAAUAGGUUGCUCCCUAAAAAAAUGGUCCCCCGGUGGUAUUUCAUUGGUGUUUGGCAGAGGGUGCCCUUUAGAGUGAGAAGAAGGUGUGUGUAAGUCACGGGAGGGUGGGCGGAAUGAAAUAAACGUACCAUCCCCUGGACCUGGAGAACCCAGUGCGGGUGAACUUGGCCGCUUGGACUGUGGAUGUCAAUCAAAGUAAUGUGUUGGGGGAAGGGGGAGGAAGUUUGUCACCCGUUUUAAUAUCAGAAAUUCCUUUACGUGGGUGGUAACUGGGGAACAGCUGCAGGUAGCUGAAUCACAGCCCAAAUCCUUGCAAAAACGCUGGUGGGACCCCUGCCAACAACUGAGCAAUGGCUUUUCAAGCUGGAAG